UGGCUCUGGUGCACUUUCCCUUUUGUACAA
RNAcentral lists this non-coding RNA (30 nucleotides) under Mus musculus (house mouse). The record is from RNAcentral. Lineage: Eukaryota; Metazoa; Chordata; Mammalia; Rodentia; Muridae.